AAAUCGCGCCGCUGUACGUGCUCCGCAGAGCUCCACUGUGCUCCACAGCGUCUCGUCACAUUUUUUAAGUUUCGCCUUUGCUAUAUUUUGCUCAGUUGCGAUUUCAUAUUCGGUUAGUUUGGACGUGUCAAAUAAAGCUGGCAAUAAAUGAUAGAUUUGCAAUAAACAAAUGUGUCCCAUUGACGACUAGCGUAACUGUAACUGAUUCGUAGGCAAUUCAACACAUCAGUGGUCAGACGAAUAUCGAGUUGCCAACCGGAGAGUUGUGCGUUACGGUCUAUUUAGUGUGAAAAUUAAGUAAUCUCAAAGUUCCGGUAACUAGUGUUUUGCGGAAGUAAAACUGCUUGUUUGAAAAAAUUAACAAAAAAGAAAAAUUUUAAUUAUUCACGGUGUUUUUUGUCAAAAUUAAAUAUUUGUGAAUUUUUAACAAUUUUCUGGCUUAUGUUUGGGUGCUGAAUUCAAAAUUUUCAAACUCCCAAAAUUAUCUUUCGAAAAGUGGAAAGUGUUACAAAUUAUUAAACUAAUAAUAACGAUUCGAGAAUUAAUAAUCGCAUAUAACAACAAUAGCAACAAAUUAUAAAAUUGAAAUAGCUAAAAAGUUUGUUCUGCUUCUUGACGCCGCUUUGGUAGCUGGUUUAGGAAUUGUUAUACAAAAAGCUGUUGCAUGCCAAUACCCUGUUGAAAUCCUUGAACAAUCCCACCUAACAAUCAUCGCUGCCAUCGUUUUGCCAAAGUAGAAUAUCCAUAAGAACACAAUGGCAUAUUCAGAAACUUGAACAACUUAUUUGGCGCCAACAUUAAAACGUUUGUCUAAUACCAAAAAAAUAUUCUUCGAAACUAUGCAGACAAUCAAGUUGUCAGCUUGUCUCCCGCUUCAGCAUCCCGCGCAACAAAGUCACCAAAGCGUAGAGCUUGAUGUUGUUUCUGUCGAAACUUCUGGUUGAGCGGAGAGAUAAACAAUAAAAGUUUUACCAAGUCACGUUACGCAAACUCCCACAGCUUUGCAAAUCCAAGAUGGAAGGAAAACGAAAAUCAAAUCAAGAAAAAACUAUUUUUAUAACACUCGGUUGACAGAGCAAACAAGUGUCGGUGUUUUUAUGUAUAAUAUAUUCUGUAAAUACUUAGAUAUAAAUAAGUAUUGUUUAUGUGACUGAAGUUAUGCUUCAACUUGAACUUGAAUCCAAUACUGAGUAAAUAAACUAGGUUUUAUAUAAGUAAAUGAGCCUUAAAAUAGCAAUAUUUGUUUGCAUAUUUAUUUGAUACUACAAGUGGUAGGCUUGAAGGGGGAAUUGACUAAUUUUGGACAGUAUUUUG
This is a non-coding RNA of Bactrocera oleae (olive fruit fly), 1314 nucleotides long. Lineage: Eukaryota; Metazoa; Arthropoda; Insecta; Diptera; Tephritidae. The record is from RefSeq and is a predicted model, not a curated record.